AUACAUGCAAGUGAACGAUGAUUCUGGUACUUGUAUCAGAAUGAAGAGUAGCGAACGGGUGAGUAACGCGUGGGUAACCUACCUCUUAGCGGGGGACAACUAUUGGAAACGAUAGCUAAUACCGCAUAACAAUAUUAAACACAUGUUUAACAUUUGAAAGUACCAAUUGGUACACUAGGAGAUGGACCCGCGUUGUAUUAGCUAGUUGGUAGUGUAAUGGACUACCAAGGCGAUGAUACAUAGCCGACCUGAGAGGGUGAUCGGCCACAUUGGGACUGAGACACGGCCCAAACUCCUACGGGAGGCAGCAGUAGGGAAUCUUCGGCAAUGGACGAAAGUCUGACCGAGCAACGCCGCGUGAGUGAAGAAGGUUUUCGGAUCGUAAAACUCUGUUGUUAGAGAAGAACGUUGUGUAGAGUGGAAAAUUACACAUGUGACGGUAUCUAACCAGAAAGGGACGGCUAACUACGUGCCAGCAGCCGCGGUAAUACGUAGGUCCCGAGCGUUGUCCGGAUUUAUUGGGCGUAAAGUGAGCGCAGGUGGUUUAAUAAGUCUGAUGUAAAAGGCAGUGGCUCAACCAUUGUGUGCAUUGGAAACUGUUAGACUUGAGUGCAGUAGAGGAGAGUGGAAUUCCAUGUGUAGCGGUGAGAUGCGUAGAUAUAUGGAGGAACACCGGUGGCGAAAGCGGCUCUCUGGACUGUAACUGACACUGAGGCUCGAAAGCGUGGGUAGCAGACAGGAUUAGAUACACUGGUAGUCCACGCCGUAAACGAUGAGUGCUAGUUGUUUGGGGCUAUCCAGCCCUAAGUGACGCAGCAAACGCAUUAAGCACUCCGCCUGGGGAGUACGACCGCAAGGUUGAAACUCAAAGGAAUUGACGG
Molecule: ribosomal RNA, 881 nt
Filed under: uncultured bacterium
Lineage: Bacteria
Description: bacterial SSU rRNA
Rfam family: Bacterial small subunit ribosomal RNA
Source: RNAcentral